AUUGCCCUAGUAACGGCGAGUGAAGCGGCAACAGCUCAAAUUUGAAAUCUGCCUUCGGGCCGAGUUGUAAUUUGUAGAGGAAGCUUUUGGUGAGGCACCUUCUGAGUCCCCUGGAACGGGGCGCCAUAGAGGGUGAGAGCCCCGUAUAGUCGGAUGCCGAUCCAAUGUAAAGCUCCUUCGACGAGUCGAGUAGUUUGGGAAUGCUGCUCAAAAUGGGAGGUAAAUUUCUUCUAAAGCUAAAUACCGGCCAGAGACCGAUAGCGCACAAGUAGAGUGAUCGAAAGAUGAAAAGCACCUUGAAAAGGGGGUUAAAUAGCACGUGAAAUUGUUGAAAGGGAAGCGUUUGCGGCCAGACUUGCGCCGCCCCGAUCAUCCGGUGUUCUCACCGGUGCACUCGGGGCGGCGCAGGCCAGCAUCGGUUUCGGCGGGGGGAUAAAGGUCCGGGGAACGUAGCUCCUCCGGGAGUGUUAUAGCCCCGGGCGUAAUGCCCUCGCCGGGACCGAGGUUCGCGCAUCUGCAAGGAUGCUGGCGUAAUGGCCGCCAACGACCCGUCUUGAAACACGGACCAAGGAGUCAAGGUUUUGCGCGAGUGUUUGGGUGUAAAACCCGCACGCGUAAUGAAAGUGAACGUAGGUGAGAGCUUCGGCGCAUCAUCGACCGAUCCUGAUGUAUUCGGAUGGAUUUGAGUAAGAGCGUUAAGCCUUGGACCCGAAAGAUGGUGAACUAUGCUUGGAUAGGGUGAAGCCAGAGGAAACUCUGGUGGAGGCUCGCAGCGGUUCUGACGUGCAAAUCGAUCGUCAAAUCUGAGCAUGGGGGCGAAAGACUAAUCGA
Molecule: ribosomal RNA, 831 nt
Filed under: Neurospora reticulata
Lineage: Eukaryota; Fungi; Ascomycota; Sordariomycetes; Sordariales; Sordariaceae
Description: partial 28S large subunit ribosomal RNA
Rfam family: Eukaryotic large subunit ribosomal RNA
Source: RNAcentral